GGGGAUGCGUCUGAUUAGAUAGUAGGCGGGGUAACGGCCCACCUAGUCUACGAUCAGUAGGGGUUCUGAGAGGAAGGUCCCCCACAUUGGAACUGAGACACGGUCCAAACUCCUACGGGAGGCAGCAGUGAGGAAUAUUGGUCAAAUGGGCGAGAGCCUGAACCAGCCAAGUAGCGUGCAGGAUGACGGCCCUAUGGGUUGUAAACUGCUUUUAUGCGGGGAUAAAGUUCACUACGUGUAGUGUUUUGUAGGUACCGCAUGAAUAAGGACCGGCUAAUUCCGUGCCAGCAGCCGCGGUAAUACGGAAGGUCCGGGCGUUAUCCGGAUUUAUUGGGUUUAAAGGGAGCGCAGGCCGGAGGUCAAGCGUGACGUGAAAUGUAGCCGCUCAACGGCUGAACUGCGUCGCGAACUGGCUUUCUUGAGUGAGUUCGAUGUGGGCGGAAUUCGUGGUGUAGCGGUGAAAUGCUUAGAUAUCACGAAGAACUCCGAUUGCGAAGGCAGCCCACAAGGCCUUUACUGACGCUAAAGCUCGAAGGUGCGGGUAUCGAACAGGAUUAGAUACCCUGGUAGUCCGCACGGUAAACGAUGGAUGCCCGCUGUUUGCGAUAUACUGUGAGCGGCCAAGAGAAAUCGUUAAGCAUCCCACCUGGGGAGUACGCCGGCAACGGUGAAACUCAAAGGAAUUGACGGGGGCCCGCACAAGCGGAGGAACAUGUGGUUUAAUUCGGUGAUACGCGAGGAACCUUACCCGGGCUUGAACUGCAGCGGAAGGAUACAGAGAUGUUGACGCCCUUCGGGGCCGCUGUGGAGGUGCUGCAUGGUUGUCGUCAGCUCGUGCCGUGAGGUGUCGGCUUAAGUGCCAUAACGAGCGCAACCCUUUUCUUCAGUUGCCAUCAGGUCAUGCUGGGCACUCUGGAGACACUGCCACCGUAAGGUGUGAGGAAGGUGGGGAUGACGUCAAAUCAGCACGGCCCUUACGUCCGGGGCUACACACGUGUUACAAUGGGUGGUACAGAGAGUCGGUCGUCUGCAAAUGCGAUCCAAUCCUUAAAGCCAUCCUCAGUUCGGAUUGGGGUCUGCAACCCGACCCCAUGAAGCUGGAUUCGCUAGUAAUCGCGCAUCAGCCAUGGCGCGGUGAAUACGAUGCCGGGCCUUGCACACACCGCCCGUCAAG
Molecule: ribosomal RNA, 1174 nt
Filed under: uncultured bacterium
Lineage: Bacteria
Description: bacterial SSU rRNA
Rfam family: Bacterial small subunit ribosomal RNA
Source: RNAcentral